Molecule: long non-coding RNA, 192 nt
Organism: Pan paniscus (pygmy chimpanzee)
Lineage: Eukaryota; Metazoa; Chordata; Mammalia; Primates; Hominidae
Source: Ensembl
GUUGCUAUUUUCAUGAACUUUUGUUAACAGCCUGAUGAGCUUGGGAAUGAUCAUUGCCACCUGAAAUGAAUGAGCUGUGCAAAUGGAAGAUAUUCUCAGGGCUCAUGACCACACCUGAAGCAGAUUGUCUUUUCUCCCACUCCGCUUCAGUGCAAGAGGAGAGCGUACAUCAACGUGUUAAACCUAAACCCU